GUCGAGAAUCUUUCACAAUGGGGGCAACCCUGAUGGAGCGACGCCGCGUGGAGGAUAAGGUCUUCGGAUUGUAAACUCCUGUCAUGCGUGAACAAGGUUGCUUGGUUAAUACCUGGGCAAAUUGAUGGUAACGCAAGAGGAAGAGACGGCUAACUCUGUGCCAGCAGCCGCGGUAAUACAGAGGUCUCAAGCGUUGUUCGGAAUCACUGGGCGUAAAGGGUGCGUAGGUGGCGUGGUAAGUCAGAUGUGAAAGCCCGGGGCUCAACCUCGGAACUGCAUCCGAUACUGCCAUGCUAGAGUAAUGGAGAGGUGACUAGAAUUCUCGGUGUAGCAGUGAAAUGCGUAGAUAUCGAGAGGAAUACCAAAGGCGUAGGCAGGUCACUGGACAGUUACUGACACUGAGGCACGAAGGCCAGGGGAGCGAACGGGAUUAGAAACCCCGGUAGUCC
RNAcentral lists this ribosomal RNA (449 nucleotides) under uncultured bacterium. RNAcentral's name for it is "partial 16S ribosomal RNA". It matches the Rfam family "Bacterial small subunit ribosomal RNA", at positions 354 to 796 of the family's 1533-position model. The record is from RNAcentral.